This is a non-coding RNA of Sus scrofa (pig), 3260 nucleotides long. Lineage: Eukaryota; Metazoa; Chordata; Mammalia; Artiodactyla; Suidae. The record is from RefSeq and is a predicted model, not a curated record.
GAGAGGGAAGGGGAGAGGGAGAUGGGGAGGGAAAGAAAGGUGGAGAGAAGACAGGAAAUGGGGUAAAAAAGUUAAUUGAGGUAAAGGAUUGAUGACUAUUACUGUUUUUGCAACAUUUUUUGUAAGCUUGAAAUUACUUUCAUAUAAAAAUUUCAAUGUUAAAAAAAAUGUAACAGGAUUUCCUAGUUAGUCGGGGAGGAAAAGAGUUCCAAGUCCUUGUCAGAUAAUUCCCCGAGGUGGGAGUGGGCGGGUGAGGCAGCCGUGAUGAGAUGUGCCAGUUUAACCAGGCUGGUCGUGCCCCGGAGCUGCAGACUUAGGCCCAUUCUGUUUGCACUUCGUGCAGGGUUGGCCAGAGCUCGGGUCACGGUGAACCUUUGAUUCAAGGCAAGUCCCAUUUCUCAGUGUUGCUCUUCACCCUGGGCCUUGGUGGUGUGUUGGUGUUGCCAGCCCUUAGGCUGGUUGGUUGUUCCAGGCUUUGUGAUCUCUGUAGGUGCUCAGGUGCUCUCACCGAUGUUACACUUCCUACCCCCAAUUAGAGACUGUUUUUCAUAAUUGUCUUGUUUUAGGCCCUUGUUUCAGUAAACGUCUUUUGCAGUUAACGCAUGUUCUGAUUAAUGCAUGUAUGCAGAUGCCCUCGUGGGCAUUCAGCCUCACAGUGCUUUGGAAUUAUUUCGCAAUUUAUGAUUUAUGAUUUACUUGGUACUCAGGACAGACCUCUAAAAUGGCCGAACGUGUAGUUUCAUAAAUGAAAUCUGGUGGGGUAAGUGGUUGGAGCAGCAGUGUGUUAAAAGGGAGAAGUUAGUCUAAGUUGAGAAUUGUUGACUGUGGGGUAGCAGAAGGGCUAGAUGUGGGGCAUCAGUUCAGAAGGCAGGACGGGAUUGCAGGUCCUGUUGUUUGUCUUCUUAAAUUCAGCUGAUAUGCUGGGCAUUAGGUACCCGGAAGCUUUGGCGCCACACGUCUAGGGUGUGAUCGAGUUUAUGUACCAUCUGGUGACCGGUCGGGGGGGGGGUUGCGUCUGGAAGCUCCCCCAACACCAGGCCUUAGAGAAGCCUCGGAGGAGCUCAGCUCCAGGGCACAUCAGUCCCUUCACCUGCUGUUACGUGGGCAGGAGCUGUUACACCCGGAGGCCUGCAGAGCUCCAGCACCCACACCUCAAAUGUGCCCCAGACACCUCUCUGUAAAUCCCACCCGCACCGAUCACAGGUCUCUGUCGAAGUCCUUUACCACGCGCAUGACACCCCGAAUGCGCCCGGUCUCGUCUGGGUUGAAGUACUUUAUAUUCCAGAAACUUGGGAGCCGUGGGGCCCGUGAGGCCAGCGCAUGUGGGGUUUGACUCUGGAAGAUCGUUUUCUCCUGGAACAGUGGCAUCUGGUUCAGAGGGGUCCGUGCGGGGGAUCUGGACGUGCUCCGGCCCAUUGUCUUAGCACGUUCCCUUGCCUUCCGUGACACUGCCGGCGGGGGGACGGCUGCCCCUGGGCGGCGCUCAGCGCUGCGCAAGAUCAGCUCUCCCAGCCUGCCCGGGUGUCACUGACAGCUCACUUGAGGUGGGGUUGGCACGUCCCUGUCAUACUUCAUGAUCCCAGUGAAAACUCUCCAGGAUAUUCCAGGUUGAGGUUUUGUCCUGCGUGUGCUUAGAUCGAUUAGACAAGGGGGCCGCUAGAUGAGAGGUGGUUGUAAUGCUUCGGCAGCCUAACAAGCAACCCAAAACCUCAGCCUGGGAACGCCUUGUGGACUGAAAAAAAAAAAAAAAAAAAAAGCCAGCAAAUGUGAAAGUCGUGAGUUAAGUUUAUUGGGGGCAAAAUGAGGGUUGUUGCCCAGGAGACAGUCUUUCAGGAGGACCUGAGGAACUGCUCCCAGGAGCAUGUGUGUGGUUUUAGUGAACAGGGAUACGUGCAGGGAAGCACGCGUUUUGGCAGGAGGUUGCAGCUGGUCACGAGGAGCAGAGGUCUCCGCGAAGACAGGAGAAGAUCAAAGAACUUGGGCUCAUAAAAUCUGAAAACACCGAACUGUCCGAAGGCCCGUCGUGCAUUUUCCCCCAGAGCACAAGGAGCCUUGUUCCCAGUCUCCACCCUGAACUCCUUUCGGGGUGUGUUGAAGUCCCUGCAGUGGCUGGUGACUUCAUUCUUGUAGAACCAGAUGGCGAGCUGCAGGUUUUAGUUGGCAGCCUCAAGGUUAAAAGAAACCAAGGGACCACAAGUCACAAGCAGCUAACUUGGUUUUCCUGUGCAGGGAAGACUUAAGCAAUAGCCAAUCAAGUCGUUUCCUCACUUUGCUUCCUUGUCUCUGUAAACGUCUGGCCUCUACUUCCUGUGGCUGGAAUGCCACUGACCACUUCCCGGUUGGUGCUGCCUGAUUGGAAUGGUUUUUGCUCAAUUAAACGUGAACUUUUUCAUAUGCCUCAGUUUAUCUUUCCUCAAUGCUUUUCAACAGAGAUUCUGAAGACCUUACAUCAGAAUCAUCUGGGGAAUUUGUUUAACGUGUUUGGGGCUGGAGCAGUUUUCACUGGGACCUAGGAAACUUCAUUUUACCCAGCCCUUUGGGUGAUGGGCUAGGGCGCAAGAAAAUCUUGAGGGUUGCUGUAUCAUUGCGUGGAUCACCGUGGCUUCACCAGAGCACACACUGACGUGGUGGAACACAUCCUGCAGACUCCCCCCACCCGCCCAAAGCAGAUACGGGAGCAUCCUACAAACAGCAGGGCUUCGUCUUCACAGCCGAGUGCUGUCUCACUGCUCUCAGCUGGGAGCGAUGACGCAUGCAUCCCUUCAGCGACGCAGCAUGGUUAUCCUGAUUUCUCACUAGAAAAAGACUUUGGUUUUGGUUUUACUUUUGGGAGGGGUCAGACAUUCAUUUACUGCUGUGUCUCCGCACUCGGCACAGUGCCCAGCUUCAUGAAGGCGCUUGAUGAAGAUUGCUUCAAUAAACACGUUUCUUUUGCGUCGGUCCCCUCCCUAAGUUUCUUGGUUGCCACUGCUCCGCUCCACCUUCAUGUCCCAUAACUGGGGAGGCAGACGAAGCCCUCUCCUUUGGCCACCCCAGGAGUGCAGCUCCACAGAAAAGGCUUGAAUUCUGUUGCAGGUGAGGUUGGGCUUUUCCAGGACCGGGCGCUGGGUUGGGAGUGGAGAGCCCAGCGAAGCCAGUGCCAGUGCGAGGGGCCUGGGAGAGUGGAGGGUGGCAGAGGAUGCAGCGGGAACGCUUUAACCCAAGCACGUGUGUAACUUGUGCUGCGAUCUGUGACAGUAAAGUGUAUCUUUAACAACCUC